ACCAUCGGAGGAAUAAACCAGAGAAGAGAUGCAGGAUUACCACUAUCCUGGUCUCUCUAAAACAACUCUCUUCAAGGGAUUUUGCAGGGUUUAUCUACCCUUGGGUUCCUGUACUCCGAAGCAAUUUCGGUGGUCGAAAGUUGAACGGAGCCCGGCCUUUUCGCCUUCUUGCCCCUCACUCGAUACUGGUAGGGUUUGAAAACAUACACAGUGUGGAAACCGUUAAGAAGUACACAGCGGAAAAGAGAAGGAUGGCUGAAUGAAGAUGGACAGUCUUCCGGCCGAAAAUUUGAACUCCGUUCAGCUCGAAAGGCGUAUUUCCUGAAACCAAUCAAAAAUCGUACGAGGAUUGAACGAAAAUUUCGGAAACUUACAUAUAUUGAGAAUGAUUCUAUGCUGCUCCUCACCGCCAACUACGCACUGCGCACUGCUCAGCUUACUUGACGUGCCCUGACAGGGAUAACUCAAGGCUGCGUAGCUACUACAAUUCAAUGAGAAAUACCUACGAAUCUGUCUGACCUCUAUUUUUGAACAGGCUUUCAAAUAGAAGAGCAUAGCCCAUGUAAACGAAGUUAUCAUCAUUAAAAAUAGAACUUUGCUUCCAACCGGAUUAAAGUGGUCGGGGUCCAAAAAGGAUCGUGAUAACAUGAUGACCAUCGCAUGAGGCCUUGUUUCUUUUAAGUUUCUUGGCUUCAAGCCGCCCCUCCGCGGUUUAGCAAUCACCGGGAGUGCGGCGGCCUUUGAGCUUUUAUGGCGGGAGAGCUGCUCCAGUGGAAUGGUUUUGACAGCCUGUUCUCGGAAGCACCAGUAUUGUGGCACGUUUAAGGGCUCGCCGAUGCCAGGCUUCCUUACAUAUAUAAACUAUCUUCAGAUGAUCACAGCAAGAUAUAGUAUUACAAUUGAAUAUAGCAAUACAGCAGCC
This 922-nucleotide small RNA is filed under the name Histoplasma ohiense. Its description in RNAcentral is "hypothetical lncRNA". The record is from RNAcentral. Lineage: Eukaryota; Fungi; Ascomycota; Eurotiomycetes; Onygenales; Ajellomycetaceae.